RNAcentral lists this ribosomal RNA (500 nucleotides) under uncultured bacterium. RNAcentral describes it as "partial 16S ribosomal RNA". It matches the Rfam family "Bacterial small subunit ribosomal RNA", at positions 30 to 523 of the family's 1533-position model. The record is from RNAcentral.
AUUGAACGCUGGCGGCAUGCCUUACACAUGCAAGUCGAACGGCAGCACGGGAGCAAUCCUGGUGGCGAGUGGCGAACGGGUGAGUAAAGUAUCGGAACGUGCCCAGUCGUGGGGGAUAACGUAGCGAAAGUUACGCUAAUACCGCAUACGAUCUAUGGAUGAAAGCGGGGGAUCGCAAGACCUCGCGCGAUUGGAGCGGCCGAUAUCAGAUUAGGUAGUUGGUGGGGUAAAGGGCCACCAAGCCGACGAUCUGUAGCUGGUCUGAGAGGACGACCAGCCACACUGGGACUGAGACACGGCCCAGACUCCUACGGGAGGCAGCAGUGGGGAAUUUUGGACAAUGGGCGCAAGCCUGAUCCAGCCAUGCCGCGUGCAGGAUGAAGGCCUUCGGGUUGUAAACUGCUUUUGUACGGAACGAAAAGGUUUGACUUAAUACGUUGGACUCAUGACGGUACCGUAAGAAUAAGCACCGGCUAACUACGUGCCAGCCGCCGCAGUAA